This 253-nucleotide ribosomal RNA is filed under the name uncultured bacterium. RNAcentral describes it as "partial 16S ribosomal RNA". It matches the Rfam family "Bacterial small subunit ribosomal RNA", at positions 524 to 776 of the family's 1533-position model. The record is from RNAcentral.
UACGUAGGUGGCAAGCGUUAUCCGGAUUUACUGGGCGUAAAGGGAGCGCAGGCGGUGCGCCAAGUCUGAUGUGAAACCCCGGGGCUCAACCCCGGGCAUGCAUUGGAAACUGGCGGGCUGGAGUGCCGGAGAGGUAAGCGGAAUUCCUAGUGUAGCGGUGAAAUGCGUAGAUAUUAGGAGGAACACCAGUGGCGAAGGCGGCUUACUGGACGGCAACUGACGCUGAGGCUCGAAAGCGUGGGGAGCAAACAGG